This 253-nucleotide ribosomal RNA is filed under the name uncultured bacterium. RNAcentral describes it as "partial 16S ribosomal RNA". It matches the Rfam family "Bacterial small subunit ribosomal RNA", at positions 524 to 776 of the family's 1533-position model. The record is from RNAcentral.
UACGAACUGUGCAAACGUUAUUCGGAAUCACUGGGCUUAAAGGGUGCGUAGGCGGCUUAUCAAGUAGGGUGUGAAAGCCCCCGGCUUAACCGGGGAAUUGCGCCCUAAACUGACGAGCUGGAGUGGGACAGGGGUGUGUGGAACUUCCGGUGGAGCGGUGAAAUGUGUUGAUAUCGGAAGGAACGCCGGUGGCGAAAGCGACACACUGGGUCUCAACUGACGCUGAGGCGCGAAAGCCAGGGGAGCGAACGGG